This 616-nucleotide ribosomal RNA is filed under the name uncultured fungus. RNAcentral describes it as "eukaryotic LSU rRNA". The stretch from base 255 to 408 matches the Rfam family "5.8S ribosomal RNA". Lineage: Eukaryota; Fungi. The record is from RNAcentral.
GGAAGGAUCAUUAUUGAAUGAACUUGGUGUGGUUGUUGCUGGCCCUCUCGGGGGCAUGUGCACACCCACCAUCCUCAUCUCUCCACCUGUGCACCUCUUGUAGACCUGGAUAGACUUUCAGAGGCAACUCGGUCGGGAAGAUUGCUGCGCUCUGUGAGCCAGCUUUCUUUGCAUGUCCAGGCCUAUGUUUUUCAUAUACCCCUAUAGAAUGUAACAGAAUGUAUCAUUGGGCCUUGUGCCUAUAAACCUUAUACAACUUUCAGCAACGGAUCUCUUGGCUCUCGCAUCGAUGAAGAACGCAGCGAAAUGCGAUAAGUAAUGUGAAUUGCAGAAUUCAGUGAAUCAUCGAAUCUUUGAACGCACCUUGCGCUCCUUGGUAUUCCGAGGAGCAUGCCUGUUUGAGUGUCAUUAAAUUCUCAACCUUAUUAGCUUUUGUUGAUAAUGGAUUGGAUGUGGGGGUUUCUUUUGCUGGCUUCUUCACAGAGAUCAGCUCCCCUUAAAUGCAUUAGCUGGUGCCCCGCGUGGACCAUCUAUUGGUGUGAUAAUUAUCUACGCCGUGGAUGUCUGCAAUCAUAUGGGUUUUGCACUGCUUCUAACCGUCUGUUCAUUCGGACAA